UACGUAGGGUGCGAGCGUUGUCCGGAAUUAUUGGGCGUAAAGAGCUCGUAGGCGGUCUGUUGCGUCGGGAGUGAAAACUCAGGGCUUAACCCUGAGCCUGCUUCUGAUACGGGCAGACUAGAGGUAUGCAGGGGAGAACGGAAUUCCUGGUGUAGCGGUGAAAUGCGCAGAUAUCAGGAGGAACACCGGUGGCGAAGGCGGUUCUCUGGGCAUUACCUGACGCUGAGGAGCGAAAGUGUGGGGAGCGAACAGG
Molecule: ribosomal RNA, 253 nt
Filed under: uncultured bacterium
Lineage: Bacteria
Description: partial 16S ribosomal RNA
Rfam family: Bacterial small subunit ribosomal RNA
Source: RNAcentral